CUGACCGUGCAAAGGUAGCGUAAUCACUUGUCUCUUAAAUGGGGACCUGUAUGAAUGGCACGACGAGGGUUUAACUGUCUCCUUUUUUAAGUCAGUGAAAUUGAUCUCCCCGUGCAGAAGCGGGGAUAAUAACAUAAGACGAGAAGACCCUAUGGAGCUUUAGACACUAAGGCAUAUCACGUUAAACACCCCCAGAGAAAGGACUGAACUAAAUGACCUAUGCCCCCAUGUCUUAGGUUGGGGCGACCCCGAGGAAAUGAAAAACCCCCGAGUGGACUGGGAGAAGAAUCUCCUACAACUAAGAGCUACAGCUCUAAGUAACAGAAUUUCUGACCAAAAAAGAUCCGGCGCCGCCGAUCGACGGACCAAGUUACCCUAGGGAUAACAGCGCAAUCCCCUUUUAGAGCUCAUAUCGACAAGGGGGUUUACGACCUCGAUGUUGGAUCAGGACAUCCUAAUGGUGCAGAAGCUAUUAAGGGUUCGUUGUUCAACGAUUAAAGUCCUACGUGAUCUGAGUUCAGACCGGAG
This 528-nucleotide ribosomal RNA is filed under the name Rexea antefurcata (long-finned escolar). RNAcentral's name for it is "partial 16S ribosomal RNA". It matches the Rfam family "Bacterial large subunit ribosomal RNA", at positions 1942 to 2621 of the family's 2925-position model. Lineage: Eukaryota; Metazoa; Chordata; Actinopteri; Scombriformes; Gempylidae. The record is from RNAcentral.